AAAGCAUUUUUUAUGAAUACAUAAAAUUCUUCAACUCAAAUAGUGAAUAAACUGUAUUACCAGAGGAACCUGAGGAUAUUUUGAUUGAACUUAUACAAAAAUGUUAUUUUCUUUAUUGAAUCAAACGUCUUGAAAUACCAAAAUACGCGUGCAACCUAUUUGUUAGUAAAUUUGUUAGUAUAUUUGUUAGUAAACGCAAAAAAGUCCAACCGCAUGCAAACUAAAAAUCGGUUCUCCUCGAUGAAUCUCUGGUAAAGUCCAGUUCAGAGAUCUAUUAGAAUCUUUGAUGUGUCGCAGAUGCCGCACUAGUCCGUGCGCCUAUGUCGUAUUUAUUGUCGCAUGAUAUACAUGUUUAAAUGGCAACAUUUUAUAUUGUUUAUCUAUGAAAUCAUUUUAAAUAUACGUAAAACUCCAUGUUUUAGACUGUUUUUUAUUUUUCUUUCAAAAAUGUCAAUUUUUAGAAGAAAAAUAAUACCACAAGAAAAUAAUAUCAAAAAAUUGACCGCGGACUAAAAUCCAAGCAUCUUACAAAAUAUUUUAAACACUUCCUGCUGUAAUGGAAUUGUCAGCUGGUGUAUAGAAUAUUUGAAGAAAAUUAAAAAAAUUUGGGAGGAAGAAAGAUCCAUAUAUUAUUUAGCGGAAACAUGGUAUGAUACAUUUAUGAUUGAUGUAUGAUUUCCAUUCUCUGGGAAAAAGUCCUUUUUGCCAUACUUACUGCUCCUGUUUGUCCUUCAGUGAUACAAUAAAGACUGCUUCUUCCACCAUUCUUUGAGAAAACCUCUUUUUUGCUAUGCUUACUGCCCCUGUUGUUCUUCAGCGACACAAUAAAGACUGCUUCUUCCUCCAUUCUCUGGAGAAAAGUCCCUUUUUUUGCCAUACUUACUGCCCCUGUUUGUCCUUCAGCGACACAAUAAAGACUGCUUCUUCCACCAUUCUCUGGGAAAACCCUUUUUUUGCCAUACUUACUGUCCCUGUUUGUCCUUCAGCGACACAAUAAAGUAUAUAUAAUGUAAUGCUUUAGUAUCCAUAUGUUGAUGUGCGAUAUGAAGUUGGAAUCCAUAGAGGCAACAGAGAAACUGUUUCCUUCCUUAAUGGAAGAAACUUUUAAAGAACAAAGGCAAAAAAAACAGAAUUUAGAAAAUUGUAUUAACUCUUUGGACCAAAUUCAAAUGAGUGGUUAAAUUUAUAAAAGUAGUAUCCUUAUUGUAGUUUUAGGAUCCAGUAUACUUGUAAAUGUAGUGUUUUGUAUAAGAUUUUUAGUUUUUAGUAUAAGCAUUUAUUUUUGUUAAUUUUCAUCUAAUCUUUCCCAAUAUGCACAAUAACUAAAUAU
Molecule: long non-coding RNA, 1330 nt
Organism: Anthonomus grandis grandis
Lineage: Eukaryota; Metazoa; Arthropoda; Insecta; Coleoptera; Curculionidae
Exons: 5
Source: RefSeq, a predicted model, not a curated record